Elaeis guineensis (African oil palm) is the source of this 1298-nucleotide RNA transcript. RefSeq lists it as uncharacterized. NCBI's taxonomy places the organism in Eukaryota, Viridiplantae, Streptophyta, Magnoliopsida, Arecales, Arecaceae. The record is from RefSeq and is a predicted model, not a curated record.
AUAGUUUGCACGCGCCUUCCACCUUCUCAUCAUCAGUCCAGAUGGCGGCGGCACAGCUGCGGCUCUCCGACCACCGCCUCCCGUCACCGCCGAUUCAUCCCAUCCUCCAGCGCUGCAGGAGGUGCCAUCCACGGAGCUUCUGUAGGGUUCCGAUCGGCGGCCGUAGGCUCGCAGCGUCCCGUGUCUUCUCCGAUGGCGGCCACGACGAGGUGGAGGGUACCCAUGUCGGAGAUCAGAAGGAGUUACCUGCUGCUUCAGUUGGUCCGGAGAGAAGUAAUGGGAACAAACCGGCAACGAAAGGUUUUUCAUCUAACGAGUUGAUGCAGAGAUUGAAGAGAUAUGGAGUUGCAGGGAUAUUGUCGUAUGGACUACUUAAUACCAUAUAUUAUCUCACAACAUUCCUCUUGGUUUGGUUUUAUUUUGCCCCUGCUCCUGGACGAAUGGGCUAUGUUGCAGCUGUUGAGAGAUUUCUCAAAGUAAUGGCAAUGGUGUGGGCUGGCAGUCAAGUCACCAAGAUUGUACGUGCAGGAGGGGCUCUUGCGUUAGCUCCUUUUGUUGACAGAGGGUUGUCCUGGUUCACUGUCAAGUUCAACUUCGAAUCUGAAGGAAAGGCAUUUGCAGCAAUUGCAGGCUUGUGCUUUGGGCUGGCACUUCUCUUGUUUUUUGGGUUGACAUUGCUUUGGGCAUAGAGAAUCUGUGGAUCUCUAUAAGAUCAAGGAACUUUUCUUGUAAUUUGGGAAUUGAAAGGACGCGACCUUAUAGGCCAAGGGUAACCAAAGGGUUAUUGUACAUACUAUCUGUCACAUAGCUACUUUACUUGAAUAUCACCACCUCAGCAUUCUAAUUGUUCUUGGAAUUAAUUCUGCAUAAAGUCUCUGGAUUUCAAAGGUUUGUUACGCCUACCUUCUGUGUUCAGUCGUCGGAGGAGCAGGUUCAAGAUUGUUCGGUUGCUCAGAUGCUUAGUGCCGGCAGAGCAACAUUUGGGCACGGCAUGGCGUGGCCCAAUUGUGAAGCAGACGGCAUGGCAUGACCCUUAGUUAUAGUUAUGCAAUUUGUUGCAUUAUGUGGUUGAAGGUGCAGCUUGACAUGGGUGAUUGCGUAAGGUGGGGAUAGAAGCUCGAUGACAAUGGAUUUUCUUAUUGAUAAGUAACCUUGUGUUGUGUUGUGGUCUUAAUUGAAACUUUACAAGUCCAUUUAGUCAUCCAAGCCUCUUAAUUCCAAGAUGCAUGUAAUAGCAAAGCCCAAGCUGGGCUCUGGUGUUUGAAAGAUGUGGUAGGGGCAUACCGGUAACCACUUGA